CAUAAAACAAACGGUCAGACUUUGGGUCGGGGCUGUUUCUAGUAAAAGGGAGUUCCCGUUGUCUUAACUCACCCGGGAUUGUUUGCCGCGAGAGGCAGCCGUUUAAUCUGAAACACAGACAGAAAUAAACUGCGGCCGUGGGUCCCCGCCUGCCUGGGCUGAGCCCGACUUUGACAUUCUAAGCGCUGUGAGUACCGAGUGGCCUGGAUGGCUUGAGGCCAAACGGUAAUGUUUCCUUCUGCUGUUGUUGAGAAAGGCAUUCAGGAAAACACUUGAGCACAAUACGGGCCUUCCUGUUCCGCCAGGCGGGCCUGCGAACCACCCUGCAAACGUGGAGCCAGUGAAUCAUCCCUGAGAAAGGGGAGCUUCCCUCUCCUCUGUCGGAGGCCUUCUCCACGGCAGCCCCGGGCACGCUGCCACGCCGUGGACCCAACGAGCCCCCGUUUUCAAGAACCCAUCUGCCACCUCCCCCGCACCGUGGGAUUCGCCCCACUCGCAAAGUCCGGGUUUCUGCCGGGAAAUGUCACCCACGUGUUUCUCGCUCGGGAAAGGCAUCGGCCGCGAUGCAGCCGAAAUCCUAAGGGGUGCACGGUGGCGUCCUGCUGCAAGCGAUGGAACGUAGAAAGAUGUCAGACGGAGUGAGCACACAAGGUCCCUUGACCAAAAGCUAAACCAACGGACAUUCAGUUUUGAAGGGUCACGGGACCUGCCGCUCCAAAAUAUGCCACCGGAGGAUAGCCGUUGUUUCGAGCCGCAGGCGCUUGAACAACAGCAAAGGCAAGGAAAGGCCUUCUCUGAACUCUCAUCUGCCUAAAGACGCAUCCUCCAGGAGCAAGUCAGUUGGUACAAAUUUCUGCCCAGGAAGUUCAUCCCCCGAGGAAGGUGGAGUCUUGUUCCAGGGCAGGACACUGUAGGCGGACCUCACACCCAGGCAAUCUCCAUCCCAAACCAUCUUUUUCCAGAAAUCAUUUACUCUCCCCGAAGAGGCCUGCCUCUUCCCUCCCCUUUUCCCUGUUAAGGUGGUUAUUUAAGCCUAAAUUGUAAGCCGCCUCUCUGAAUUACUCAUUUUCCCUGGGUGUCUCACGUUUAUGUAUGAGGGCUACAUGUUACUGAUAAACUUGUUUUUCUCUUAUUGGUCUUUUGGUCUUUUAUUGCAGGGGUCUCAGCCAAGAGCUCAGGAGGGUAGAGGGAAAUUCAUUUUUUCUCCUGUACAG
RNAcentral lists this long non-coding RNA (1214 nucleotides) under Felis catus (domestic cat). Its description in RNAcentral is "lncRNA (ENSFCAG00000046443.2)". Lineage: Eukaryota; Metazoa; Chordata; Mammalia; Carnivora; Felidae. The record is from RNAcentral.